This 254-nucleotide ribosomal RNA is filed under the name uncultured bacterium. Its description in RNAcentral is "partial 16S ribosomal RNA". It matches the Rfam family "Bacterial small subunit ribosomal RNA", at positions 524 to 776 of the family's 1533-position model. The record is from RNAcentral.
UACGGAGGGUGCGAGCGUUGUCCGGAAUUACUGGGCGUAAAGCGUGCGUAGGUGGUUGUUUAAGUCUGUUGUGAAAGCCCUGGGCUCAACCUGGGAAUUGCAGUGGAUACUGGGCGACUAGAGUGUGGUAGAGGGUAGUGGAAUUCCCGGUGUAGCAGCGAAAUGCGUAGAGAUCGGGAGGAACAUCCAUGGCGAAGGCAGCUACCUGGACCAACACUGACACUGAGGCACGGAAAGCGUGGGGAGCAAACAGG